This is a long non-coding RNA of Cyanistes caeruleus (blue tit), 1736 nucleotides long. NCBI's taxonomy places the organism in Eukaryota, Metazoa, Chordata, Aves, Passeriformes, Paridae. The record is from Ensembl.
CGGGGCGCGGGAGGGCUGCGGGAGGGCUGCGGUCCGUGUCGGCAGCUGCCGUGGCACCGAGCCCAGCGUAGGUGUGCGAGGCGGGGCGGCUUUCCCCGCGCGGUGCGUGGGGUAUGCACAUGGCUCGAGUGCCGUAAUAAGAGAGUAGCUUUGGCAGUGUAAGUUAACCCCUUCUUGAAACAACUUGUUUUUGGAAGACACGCUCUAUUGAGGUGUGCGGGCGGAUCACGCUGGUUUUGCUUCGUUUGUAUUACAUUAUUUGCGAGCUAAGGAUAGACAAAAGGCCUUGCCAAUGCUGCCAGUGGGCUGGGCAGAAGUCUGCUAGCUCCUAAAAAAAAUUAUAUACUUUAUUAUCAUCUGACCGUUGUCAUAAAAAACCCUCAAACUCUCAAAAACCCAACCCAAAGCAAAACAAGAAAAUGCUACUCCUUUCAAUGCCCCCCCGAUUGCUGUCAGCUGCAAGCAGUCAUCAAUACAUUCAGUGCUUGUGCGUGAAAGAUUACAGCCUUGUUGGCAGACAGAAGCAGCUAAACCAGCACAAAAAUCCCAAAGUUCAGGAGUGAACAGUGUCUUAAGAAUGCAUCCCUCUAGUGCUGAACAGCAUGGGCUUUUGGAACGGUGGAUCCUCGUUCAGCUGCACUGUGGCCAGGUGAAAGGGGUGCCUGGCUGCACCCCAGUCAUCAUUCCAGCAGAAGCUGCAGUAACUGCAGUGUUGAGGUUGGAAAGGUUAGCCUAACAACCAGACUGGUUAGCAGCUUUCCCAAACCUAGAAAAAAAAAAAUUCAAACAUAUUUGAGUAUAAGAACAUCUGGUUUAUGGAAAAUGUAAGGAUUCAUUGGAUUAGUUCUUAUUUAAGUUGAUUUACUCCACCAAGAUACAAUAGGAAGGAGUAGUGAUUCUUCUGAGAUUUUAUAUAUUUGGCAAGAAAAAAAUUACUUUAGGUAAGCAAGCAAGUGAAAACAGUGCCAAGCUAGCUUCCCUGCAGACUUAAAAUAUUAUUUUUUUAAUGAUUUAGCAGUUAUGAAAAUGCCAGCAUUAGUCUUAAAAUACUUUUAAGUGCCAAAAAAUAUGCAAAAGUCUUGCCAAAUAAUACAUGCACUCUCUUCAGGUAAACACUGAACAGGAAGAACUUUGAAAAAUGGAAUACUUAGAUAUUUCUAAAUUGUACUGCUACAUAAAGAAUCUUUUAUGAAGUAAGUCCUGCAUUAUCUCUUCCCUUAGAGACAGAUUGUCACCUGGCUUGUAAGUUGCACUUUGAAGUGAAUACAUAUCCAUGCUCACUAUAAUAUGAUUUGCAUUCACCAUCCAUAGGGCUCCCUAAUUUUCAGGUGAAUCUAGACCACAGCUGCCAAGCAUUUUUUUCCUCUGGUUUAUUGUUGUUGAACAACAUGCAUGAACUGUAUGCAAUUACACUAUUACUGUCUGCCAGUCCACCUUUAUAAUCUUGACUUUUAUCAAAAAGUAUAGUUAGCACUGCUUUGAUGUCUGGUAACAGUGACCCUGCCAGUAAAGAUAGGGAUUAGUAUCAAAUGCUUAUGAAUGGGGAUGAAUAAUAAUUACCAUUUAAUUGAAAGGGGGAAUCAAUUAAAUUCAAUUAUGUUCAUUUGCAUGAAGACAUCUGAGCAUAUUUUUUUUAAUGUAUUUAGAGGACUACCUGUUUUUUGUGCUUUUUUUUUGUGUUUUUUGAAUUGUGAUUGGUUUGAAUUUGCUUAAAAUUGAACUUUUAGCAAAAUAGA